Long non-coding RNA from Alosa sapidissima (American shad), 155 nucleotides. RefSeq lists it as uncharacterized. NCBI's taxonomy places the organism in Eukaryota, Metazoa, Chordata, Actinopteri, Clupeiformes, Clupeidae. The record is from RefSeq and is a predicted model, not a curated record. The transcript is spliced from 2 exons.
AUUAGAGACCUUGCAGGUUGGAGUUCAGGGCUACAGUCAGAGUAAGUGGAGUGAUCCUGUCCCAUCUUGUCUAUUUGUUCAGUCCAAUGCCUAUGAAUAACUCUUUCCACCAUGUCAGUCUGAUCUGUCAUCAGUCAUCACUUUAUCAUGUUCCA